Humulus lupulus (European hop) is the source of this 627-nucleotide long non-coding RNA. RefSeq lists it as uncharacterized. Lineage: Eukaryota; Viridiplantae; Streptophyta; Magnoliopsida; Rosales; Cannabaceae. The record is from RefSeq and is a predicted model, not a curated record. The transcript has 2 exons.
AGAGCAUAACUGUGCAAAAAUAUGGAAUUAUACUUUUCUUACUUUUAUGGGAAAAAUUAAAGAAAAAAAAGAAUUUUUGUGAAUGAAAUAGCAAGUAAAAACUGAAGAACAAUUCAACACCGAGAGGGAAAAAUCGACCAAGGCAGACCCUAAACAAAUUUUCUCAAUCCAAAUCUCUGAUUUGCGUCGUCGGGUUCUUGUGCACAUCGGGUUUGCAUUGGACCUAAUCGCCUUGGAGAUCGAAGGAGCUGCGAGGUGGGGGUCGUUUUCGUCGUAGAUCUCUAGUUUAGGUAUUUGUGGUGGCAUCAACCACGAACCCUAGUGUUUUGGUGUGCCUGACUUGCUUGUGUGGUGGAGAUCUAUUCUUCAGGGUCUUCUUUCGGCAACCAAGAACAAGAUAUGGCAUCUUCAUUGUCUUCAGUUGGAAUCUAGAUUAUUUGAUGUCGCCGACCAACUACGGAUGCAUAGGCAUCUCCUCCAUCAUUCUCUUUGAUGGACUGCCAAAGUGGGAGGAGGAAUGGAAGCAAACAAGAACAAUUUCAUAGAGGAGUGGGGAUUUGCAAGAGAAAACCAAAUAGAAUGUUAAAUAUUAUUACUUCAUUUAAAUAAAUAAGAAGUAUAUUCUUA